This 407-nucleotide ribosomal RNA is filed under the name uncultured bacterium. RNAcentral's name for it is "bacterial SSU rRNA". It matches the Rfam family "Bacterial small subunit ribosomal RNA", at positions 355 to 776 of the family's 1533-position model. The record is from RNAcentral.
UGGGGGAUAUUGCACAAUGGGGGGAACCCUGAUGCAGCGACGCCGCGUGGGUGAAGGAGUGCUCCGGCACGUAAAGCCCUAUCAGCAGGGAAGAAAGGAAUGACAGUACCUGACUAAGAAGCCCCGGCUAACUACGUGCCAGCAGCCGCGGUAAUACGUAGGGGGCAAGCGUUAUCCGGAUUUACUGGGUGUAAAGGGAGCGCAGGCGGCCGUGCAAGUCAGGAGUGAAAUACCGGGGCCCAACCCCGGGGCUGCUCUUGAGACUGCGUGGCUGGAGUGUCGGAGGGGCAGGCGGAAUUCCUAGUGUAGCGGUGAAAUGCGUAGAUAUUAGGAGGAACACCAGUGGCGGAGGCGGCCUGCUGGACGACGACUGACGCUGAGGCUCGAAAGCGUGGGGAGCAAACAGG